GUGGGGAAUUUUGGACAAUGGGCGCAAGCCUGAUCCAGCAAUGCCGCGUGCAGGAAGAAGGCCUUCGGGUUGUAAACUGCUUUUGUACGGAACGAAACGGUCCGGGUUAAUACCCUGGGCUAAUGACGGUACCGUAAGAAUAAGCACCGGCUAACUACGUGCCAGCAGCCGCGGUAAUACGUAGGGUGCAAGCGUUAAUCGGAAUUACUGGGCGUAAAGCGUGCGCAGGCGGUUUUGUAAGACAGGCGUGAAAUCCCCGGGCUCAACCUGGGAAUUGCGCUUGUGACUGCAAGGCCGGAGUGCGGCAGAGGGGGAUGGAAUUCCGCGUGUAGCAGUGAAAUGCGUAGAUAUGCGGAGGAACACCGAUGGCGAAGGCAAUCCCCUGGGCCUGCACUGACGCUCAUGCACGAAAGCGUGGGGAGCAAACAGGAUUAGAUACCCUUGUAGUCC
This 450-nucleotide ribosomal RNA is filed under the name uncultured bacterium. RNAcentral describes it as "partial 16S ribosomal RNA". It matches the Rfam family "Bacterial small subunit ribosomal RNA", at positions 354 to 796 of the family's 1533-position model. The record is from RNAcentral.